GUCGGAAGAAGGCGGUACCCGUUUGUGCAGCCGAGUACCCGCAUGUCAUCUGUUUGUUGAUGUGUACCCCCAAUAUCAUGUGUGACAAAGGCUGCCUUUUCUGUGAAUAAUAUUAAUUUAGCGUGUAUUGGUUGUUAUUUGGCUUAUUAUUUACGCUCCACGAUUUUGUCAAACUUUUUCAGCUCAAGCUAGCACCGAACCUAGGGCAUGUCCUCUGAGGGUCUCAGUCGGCACAAGAAGCAGCAUCAGUAACGGGCAGUAAUUCAAAAUGAGUAAAAGUUUGCUUUCCUGUGUGAAGAAUAGAAGUCUGUGGACGUCUUUUCGCAAGUGUGUCACAACAUGGUCACCUGUUGGUGCAGCUUUCAAUGCCAAACCUCACAAGAGACUGGAAGCGUUUGAGAAAAAUGUGGGUUUGUUUGGCUUGCCAGAACUGAGUUCUCCGGCUGGAUUUCAGGUGGCCACAAAGGUGGCUCUAAAGAACACACAGCUGCUAAUAAAAAAAGUGUGUACUUCUGCUCCAGGGCUUGACACUGUCACAGCUUUUGACCAGCUCUCUGAUGGUCUCUGUAAAGUGGCGGACUUGGCGGAUUUUGUCAAAGUAGCACACCCUGAUCCAGUGUACCGCGAGGCCGCAGAGAAGACUUGCAUUGAGAUCGGCACAGUCGUGGAGAAGUUGAACACCAAUGUGGAGCUAUGCAACAGUUUGAAGAAUUUGCUGGACAGGCCGGAUCUUGUGGCUCAGCUGGACUCAGACACAAGGAGAGUGGCAGAGUUAUUUAUGUUUGACUUUGAAAUCAGCGGGAUUCAUCUCGAUGAGAAACUGAGGAAAGACGCAGUUGCUCUCCACGUGAAGCUAUUGGAUUUAAACAAUGAAUUCCUGGUUGGCUCUCACAUGCCCAACAGAAUCGCCAGGUCAGCCAUUCCCGAACAUCUCCACUUGCUCUUUGCCAGCACAGGAAGUUUUGUGGAAAUUGGAGGAUUACACGCCGACUCUCCGGAUGACUUGGUCCGAGAAAUCGCCUACAGGGUUUAUCUGUAUCCAAACGCAGACCUGAUGGAAUGUCUGGAAGAACUCCUAAAAUGCAGAUAUAAGCUGGCCAAACUGGUGGGAUACGACUCCUAUGCCCACAGAGCCUUGAAGGGAACAAUGGCAACAACCCCAGAAACAGUGAUGAGAUUUCUUCAACUCUUAACAGAUAAGCUGUCAGACAGAACAGCAAAGGACUUUGAUAUGAUGAGUGACAUGAAGAAAAAACUCAACCCUCGGCAUUCGGAGCUCAUGCCGUGGGAUCACCCGUUCCUCAGUGGAGUGUUGCGUGCCGAAAGGUACAACAUCGAACCCAGUCUGUACAGCCCUUACUUUUCCCUGGGGGCCUGCAUGGACGGUUUGAACAUUCUCUUCUCUCGGCUCUACGGUGUCUCCCUCAUGUCUGAACACCCCAACGCUGGAGAGGUGUGGAGCGACGACGUGCGCAAAUUGGCUGUAGUUCAUGAAACAGAGGGAUUACUUGGAUAUAUCUACUGUGACUUUUUUCAGCGGAAAGACAAACCUCAUCAGGACUGUCACUUCACUAUCCGGGGCGGUCGCCGGUGCCAGGAAACAGGUCAGUACCAGCUGCCUGUUGUGGUUCUGAUGCUGAGCCUGCCCCACCCCGCCAGAAGUGCCCCCACCCUGCUAUCCCCAGGCAUGAUGGAGAACCUCUUCCACGAGAUGGGACACGCCAUGCAUUCAAUGCUAGGGCGCACUCGUUACCAGCAUGUUACAGGAACUAGAUGUGCAACAGAUUUUGCAGAAGUGCCCUCCAUCCUCAUGGAGUACUUUGCCUCUGACUAUCGAGUCGUCAGCCAGUUUGCACGUCAUUAUGAAACUGGACAGCCUCUGCCGGAGAGUAUGGUGACCCGCCUGUGUGAGUCCAAGAAGGUGUGCGGUGCUGCAGACACCCAGUUGCAGAUUUUCUAUGCUGCACUGGACCAGAUAUACCACAGUAAACCCCAAAAUCUCUCCACCACUGAACUACUGAAGGAGAUGCAGCAGAAGUUCUACGGCUUGCCUUACACACCAAAUACAGCUUGGCAGCUGAGAUUUAGCCAUCUCAUUGGCUAUGGAGCCAAAUACUAUUCUUACCUCAUGUCCAGAGCCGUGGCCUCCAUGGUGUGGAAGCAGUGCUUCCUUCAGGAUCCUUUAAACAGGGAAAUGGGUGAGCGUUACCGUCGAGAGAUGUUAGCCCAUGGAGGAGCCAAGGAGCCCAUGUUGAUGGUAGAAGGUAUGCUUCAAAGGCGUCCUACCAUCGAGGACUUCGUGGAGGCGCUGGUGUCGGAGCUCCAGCCAAACUUUGAGACAUUCAUCAUGGAUUCAGAGACCUGAGAGGUGCUUUUAUGCCCUCAGGACAUUUGGUAGAGUAGCAAAAUGUAUGUACAAUAGACCACAAUAUGUGGGCAUACAUACAUGCAAGGCCUUCUUACCUAAUCUGUAAUUAUUAAAAGGUCAAGGUUGAGCUCUAGCCCAUCCCAGCUGACCUGCAUGACAGGUUGCCUACACCCUUGACUGAUUAUCAGCCAAUCACAGGAAGUACCUGGUCAAAACACAUGCAAGACCGGGAAGAACGCAACCCCCCCACGGGAAGGCAAGAGCCCUGAUUCGAACCGCAACCUCAGAACUGUGAGGCAGAUAAGCCGAACACUCUUUCACUGUUCAUAAGUGACAGGGGAAAAUUUUUUUUUUUACUUUUGCAAAAAAAUAAUAAUAAUUCAAGACAGAACAUUAUUGUCUUUAUAAAGGCAGAUGGAUUGGCUUUGUGUAUGAAGGUGUCGCUACUGAUCAAAAAAUGAACAUUUGUCUGUUCAAGUGUUUUAUUUACAAAGGUGUAAAACAAAUACAUGGAUCAUCAGCACUAUAAAUGCCGCACACAUUCAGUCAUGUCUGUUACAAAAAUACGCAGCUAUUUACUAUUUUACAUUAUCCACAAGUCACUUGAACGCAUGUACUCAAGAUUGUCUUCAGUGUGAUUUUCGUUCAUGUCACGACUAAAAACGCUCAAUGCCUGACAUGACAUGAUCAA
Molecule: RNA transcript, 3059 nt
Organism: Syngnathus typhle (broad-nosed pipefish)
Lineage: Eukaryota; Metazoa; Chordata; Actinopteri; Syngnathiformes; Syngnathidae
Gene name: mitochondrial intermediate peptidase-like
Exons: 21
Source: RefSeq, a predicted model, not a curated record